UGGAUAAAAGCGGUCACUCCGGGUGUUUUCACUGGCGCGGUGUUCCCGACGGGCUCGGAGCGUUUCCGGGGAGGGGCCCGUGGUGAUUUUUUUGCUGCGUAAUCGGUCCGGCGGAGGUUUCGCUUCUUCGGCUCCCCCGGAGCCGCCUCUGCCCCCGCUCCGACCGCGGAGCCGGAGCCGUGGCACCGCCGCCUCCCCACGGCGCUCAAGGGAUACCGAGGGGAAAUGUCUUCCUGCCCCGUACGAUCCCUCUUUUGAUGCUCUGUAUUUCCUGCUUGGAGUUGCCAUCUUCCCAAACCUUGGAAGUAUCUUCUCUUGAGGAACUGACUGCAGCCUCUUGCUGACAGGCUUUCUUUGUUGUUACUAUCUUACCUUCCAUAAAUUUUAUCACAAGUUCAG
Non-coding RNA from Lonchura striata (white-rumped munia), 399 nucleotides. The record is from RefSeq and is a predicted model, not a curated record. NCBI's taxonomy places the organism in Eukaryota, Metazoa, Chordata, Aves, Passeriformes, Estrildidae.